AGCGAACGCUGGCGGCGUGCUUAACACAUGCAAGUCGAACGUGAAAGUAGCAAUAUGAGUAAAGUGGCGUACGGGUGAGUAACACGUGGGUAAUCUACCAAAGAGUCUGGAAUAACCGGCCGAAAGGCUGGCUAAUACUGGAUAGAUCAAGCGCAUUAUAAAGGUGCGAUUGGGAAAGGGAGCUCGUAAGAGCCUUCGCUUUUUGAUGAGCCCGCGUCUGAUAGCUAGUUGGUGAGGUAAUGGCUCACCAAGGCGACGAUCAGUAGCUGGUCUGAGAGGAUGAUCAGCCACACUGGAACUGAAACACGGUCCAGACUCCUACGGGAGGCAGCAGUGGGGAAUCUUGCGCAAUGGACGAAAGUCUGACGCAGCCACGCCGCGUGAGUGAAGAA
RNAcentral lists this ribosomal RNA (392 nucleotides) under uncultured bacterium. RNAcentral's name for it is "bacterial SSU rRNA". It matches the Rfam family "Bacterial small subunit ribosomal RNA", at positions 29 to 412 of the family's 1533-position model. The record is from RNAcentral.